RNAcentral lists this ribosomal RNA (512 nucleotides) under uncultured bacterium. RNAcentral describes it as "partial 16S ribosomal RNA". It matches the Rfam family "Bacterial small subunit ribosomal RNA", at positions 355 to 885 of the family's 1533-position model. The record is from RNAcentral.
UGGGGAAUAUUGGACAAUGGGGGCAACCCUGAUCCAGCCAUGCCGCGUGAGUGAUGAAGGCCUUCGGGUUGUAAAGCUCUUUUGGCGGGGACGAUGAUGACGGUACCCGCAGAAUAAGCCCCGGCUAACUUCGUGCCAGCAGCCGCGGUAAGACGAAGGGGGCUAGCGUUGUUCGGAAUUACUGGGCGUAAAGCGAGUGUAGGCGGUUGCCGUAGUCAGGUGUGAAAGCCUUGAGCUCAACUCAAGAAAUGCACUUGAUACUGGGUGACUAGAGGACCGGAGAGGAUAGUGGAAUUCCCAGUGUAGUGGUGAAAUACGUAGAGAUUGGGAAGAACACCAGUGGCGAAGGCGGCUAUCUGGACGGUUACUGACGCUAAGACUCGAAAGCGUGGGGAGCAAACAGGAUUAGAUACCCUGGUAGUCCACGCCGUAAACGAUGGGUGCUAGACGUUGGCGAGCUUGCUCGUCAGUGUCGCAGCUAACGCGUUAAGCACCCCGCCUGGGGAGUACGG